Long non-coding RNA from Stegastes partitus (bicolor damselfish), 673 nucleotides. RefSeq lists it as uncharacterized. The transcript is spliced from 2 exons. The record is from RefSeq and is a predicted model, not a curated record. NCBI's taxonomy places the organism in Eukaryota, Metazoa, Chordata, Actinopteri, Pomacentridae.
CUUCUUCCCUUCUCCUCCAGCCUUGCCACGUUCUAGGGACAAGCCAACAUGUUCUGAGCUUUCGUAUGAUUAGGAGGCAGCCAACUUGAUGAAUCUGGUUACUUUGGAUCUGGACCGGGACUUUGUCCUUGGCUCCUGGGAUUGUUUGGAAGACAGAGCUGGCCUGAACUCUGUGCUGCAAAGCAGCAGCUACGACCGCAAGAUCCAAACCAUACACUUCCAGAUUCUUUAUCAGAGUAAUCAUCUUAUUGGAGCCCCGAGAAGCCACAGAGAUGUCUAUAGGCUCAAUAUGGCCCUUCUUUAUUAUAGAUGCUUGUCCAGGCAACACAACUUGAAAACAUCCCUGCAUUCUUCCCAGUGGAUCAGAGGCCUGUCUGAGGAUUGUGGGCGGCACCACAGGCUGCGUCCGGGUUUCCCCGAGGCUUGGCUGUAACACUGGAGAUGCUGGUUUUCCAGAAAUCAGGAGACUGACAGGAAACCUUUACUUCACCCUUCCACCUCCUGCUGCUGAUCUUAUCCUGCUCAGUGUUUCCAGGGAUUGAACCAAACUUCUGUUUGUUUAAUGAAUGAAUGAUGAACCUGAUGCUGGACAGGUCAGUGUUUCCUCAAAACUCUUUUUCUCUGUACUUUUUGCAUUUCUGUUGAGCAGUUUAUAAUAAACAUCUCAAAACAU